UUUGAGGAAGUAAAAGUCGUAACAAGGUUUCCGUAGGUGAACCUGCGGAAGGAUCAUUACUGAGAGGGGCGGUGUGCGCCAGCAGCCGCCCCGGGGGGCUUCGGCCCCCCAUCUCUUCAACCCUGUGUGUACCAACCUCUGUUGCUUUGGCGAGCGCCGGGGUGCCUUGCGCCUCGGCCCUGACCACGGUCAGUGAGCUCUCGCCGGAGGCCCAUCAGUAUUCUGUUUCUAGUGACGUCCGAGUAUACCAAUAAAUCAAUCAAAACUUUCAACAACGGAUCUCUUGGUUCUGGCAUCGAUGAAGAACGCAGCGAAAUGCGAUAAGUAAUGUGAAUUGCAGAAUUCAGUGAAUCAUCGAAUCUUUGAACGCACAUUGCGCCCCCCGGUAUUCCGGGGGGCAUGCCUGUUCGAGCGUCAUUGCAACCCUCAAGCUUUGCUUGGUAUUGGGCGUUCGCCGCUCCCCACGGAGGAGGCGUGCCCGAAAAUUAGUGGCGGUCCAGGGAGGCUUCAAGCGCAGUAAAUCUAUCCGCUUUCGAGGUGUCGCCUGCGGUCCAGCCGUGAAGCGCCCCAACUUU
This 575-nucleotide ribosomal RNA is filed under the name Caloplaca sp. s186. RNAcentral's name for it is "eukaryotic LSU rRNA". The stretch from base 264 to 417 matches the Rfam family "5.8S ribosomal RNA". Lineage: Eukaryota; Fungi; Ascomycota; Lecanoromycetes; Teloschistales; Teloschistaceae. The record is from RNAcentral.